This 850-nucleotide ribosomal RNA is filed under the name uncultured Bacteroidota bacterium. RNAcentral describes it as "bacterial SSU rRNA". It matches the Rfam family "Bacterial small subunit ribosomal RNA", at positions 33 to 887 of the family's 1533-position model. Lineage: Bacteria; Pseudomonadati; Bacteroidota. The record is from RNAcentral.
ACGCUAGCGGCAGGCCUAACACAUGCAAGUCGAGGGGUAACGAUGUCUUCGGACAGGCGACGACCGGCGCACGGGUGAGUAUCGCGUUUGUAACCUACCUUUAACUGGAGCAUAGCCCGAAGAAAUUCGGAUUAAUACUCCAUAACACUAUGAACUGGCAUCUUUUUAUAGUUAAAGCUCCGGCGGUUAAAGAUGGGCAUGCGUAACAUUAGAUAGUUGGUGAGGUAACGGCUCACCAAGUCUACGAUGUUUAGGGGGUCUGAGAGGAUGGUCCCCCACACUGGUACUGAGACACGGACCAGACUCCUACGGGAGGCAGCAGUGAGGAAUAUUGGUCAAUGGGCGCAAGCCUGAACCAGCCAUGCCGCGUGAAGGAUGACAGCGCUACGCGUUGUAAACUUCUUUUGUACAGGAAGAAACACUUCUACGUGUAGAAGCUUGACGGUACUGUACGAAUAAGCAUCGGCUAACUCCGUGCCAGCAGCCGCGGUAAUACGGAGGAUGCAAGCGUUAUCCGGAUUUAUUGGGUUUAAAGGGUACGUAGGCGGAAAAUUAAGUCAGUAGUGAAAUCCUGCAGCUUAACUGUAGAACUGUUAUUGAUACUGGUUUUCUUGAAUAUAGUUGAGGUAGGCGGAAUGUGUAAUGUAGCGGUGAAAUGCUUAGAUAUUACACAGAACACCGAUUGCGAAGGCAGCUUACUAAGCUAUGAUUGACGCUGAGGUACGAAAGCGUGGGGAGCGAACAGGAUUAGAUACCCUGGUAGUCCACGCCGUAAACGAUGAUCACUCGUUGUUGGCAUACACAGUCAGCGACUGAGCGAAAGCAUUANUGAUCACUGGGGAGUACGCUC